AAUACGUUCCCGGGCCUUGUACACACCGCCCGUCACACCAUGGGAGUCGAUUGCUCCAGAAGUGGCCUUAUGGUCCCCAAGGAGUGCUCGGUAACUGGGGUG
Molecule: ribosomal RNA, 102 nt
Filed under: uncultured bacterium
Lineage: Bacteria
Description: partial 16S ribosomal RNA
Rfam family: Bacterial small subunit ribosomal RNA
Source: RNAcentral